CGGUGAAUACGUUCUCAAGUCUUGUACUCACCGCCCGUCAACUCAAGGGAGAUGGGAGUACCCAAAGGGUCCUUUCGAGGGCACUAAGGUAAACUCAUUGACAGGGAGU
Molecule: ribosomal RNA, 109 nt
Filed under: uncultured bacterium
Lineage: Bacteria
Description: partial 16S ribosomal RNA
Rfam family: Bacterial small subunit ribosomal RNA
Source: RNAcentral